This 490-nucleotide ribosomal RNA is filed under the name Cyclocosmia ricketti. RNAcentral's name for it is "partial 16S ribosomal RNA". It matches the Rfam family "Bacterial large subunit ribosomal RNA", at positions 1779 to 2620 of the family's 2925-position model. Lineage: Eukaryota; Metazoa; Arthropoda; Arachnida; Araneae; Ctenizidae. The record is from RNAcentral.
UUAUAGAGGUUUCCAUGGCGCCUGUUUAUCAAAAACAUCUCUAUCUAUUUUUCUGAUAGUAAGACCUGCCCAAUGCUUAUUGUAAAUAGCCGCUUUAUCAGUGCUAAGGUAGCAUAAUCAUUAGCCUUCUAAUUUAAGGAUAGAAUGAAAGGUUCAACAUAUGAGUUUCUUUAUUAAUUAAUCUUCUUAAAAUUUACCUGAAAGUAAAAAGGCUUUCAUCAUUUGGGAAGACGACAAGACCCUGUCGAGCUUUACUUCUAGUUUUACUGGGGAGGUAACAAACUAAAUCUUUCUCUUUUAUCUUAUUUAUCUCCAAAAAGAAUUUUCACCAAGCUACCGCAGGGAUAACAGCAUAAUUUUUCUUUAGAGAUCAUAUCAAAAGAAGAAAUUGUGACCUCGAUGUUGAAUUAAUUUUUCUUUUAAGAGCAAGAUCUUAAAAAGAAAGUCUGUUCGACUUUUAAUUUUUUACGUGAUCUGAGUUCAGACCGGC